UCACAAACUGUCUUUAAAGUUGAAUUGUUCGAAUGUUCAUAUCGUCACAUGGACACGUGAUCGUAUAGUGGUAUAACUGUUCGGUCCUGACUGAGUAAUUCGGAUGGGUAGUGAAUUAAUUCCAGCCUACCCACAAGGGGGGAGACCUUGGCGGAAUCUCCUGUUGGAAUCUAUCUGUACGAAUAUAUCCUUCGAGUCCAAAGCUGGAUCUUAUAUAGUUCAGAGGGGUCAUCCAUCGUUACACAAUGGCCCAUAGCUGUUGACAGUCUGCGAAGUAGUCUAGCUGUUGAAUAAUACUUGUCUGAGGUUAAUUGUCGGACAAUGCAAUUAACCUCUGCAGGCUACAUGUUAGUUAACAGUGGACAUUGUCAUUAAUUUGUCUAAAGGAUAAAUGUAAUUGUUUCAGUUACGUUAUAUUUGAAUACACCUUGAUAAUUAUUGUUAUGUCACACAUUGUGUUACAAAUGCCUUUCAUCGCAAUAAGAACGAAAGUUCGGUAAAAUACGAGAAUCUUCCUUAAUUUAUUCUAUUUUAAAUUCAGUAGUUCCUUGUUAAGUUUUCGGUAACCAUCACCACACAUCUAUAGUUCAUAAAAUUCGGCAAGUCCAACAUCUGGAUACAUAGAGUUCAUAUGAUUCAUAAAGUUCAAUAUUUGGGUAUAUAUUGUGCAUACUUUUUCCCGUCACCAUCAUAGCAUAUUGUUCCUCUACUACUUUGUACAAGUGUCGGUCAUCAUCUGCUAGUGGAUCCGGUCAUCAACGUUGUAAGGUUUACCAUCUAGUUCCAUUACUAAGUUGUUGACGUAUCUAUCUCUAGGUAAAUCUUUCUCAAGAGACUAUUAACAUCGGUCUCCGGUUAAGUUUCGUCCCUGAUCAAUGGCGCAGAGGAAGACAUCUCUCUGGAAGCAGUAACAUCUGUUCCAACCAAUUGCGUUGACACCAUUUUGUACCCGUUGUUCGUGGCAUUAGAACCAGAACUCGCACUUUUCUUUUUGGCUAACCAAGAUAUAUUCUUAAUAAUUUAACAGUACAAAAUAUGGCUAUUCAAAUGAAGAUUGCACCUAACCCACUGAUAAACUUAUCCCAAUUCGGAAAAACUAAAAUUUGUUUACUUCUUUUUUAUUUAUCAAUCGUUUGUUCAGUCGCCUUUAGUUCACUGGGUUAUCCAAGCCUAGCAAAGUUUAAUAAAACAAUUUCUAGAUAAAAUCAAUACGUUCUCUUAAAUAUCGAAUUAUCUGGUAAAAAAAAAAAAAAAAAAAAAAACAAAAGGGGAAAAA
Long non-coding RNA from Mytilus californianus (California mussel), 1276 nucleotides. RefSeq lists it as uncharacterized. NCBI's taxonomy places the organism in Eukaryota, Metazoa, Mollusca, Bivalvia, Mytilida, Mytilidae. The transcript is spliced from 2 exons. The record is from RefSeq and is a predicted model, not a curated record.